This is a small nucleolar RNA of Lycium barbarum (goji berry), 106 nucleotides long. Lineage: Eukaryota; Viridiplantae; Streptophyta; Magnoliopsida; Solanales; Solanaceae. The record is from RefSeq and is a predicted model, not a curated record.
UGGUAAUGAUGAGGACAAUCUCUGAGAAGAUCCUUGAACCUCUCCCGUGCCUCAUAUAAAUGCUCUAUAUUAUUUUUCCUGAUGACAUGAUAUCACUCUUGAGCCU